Molecule: long non-coding RNA, 583 nt
Filed under: Homo sapiens (human)
Lineage: Eukaryota; Metazoa; Chordata; Mammalia; Primates; Hominidae
Description: non-protein coding FAM182A:38
Source: RNAcentral
GCUUGGCAAAGCGGGAGCCUUCCGCGGCAGAGCUUGGGUGUCCGGGCUCUGAGGCUCCGGUCUGACCUCUCCACGGGGUCGACGGGAAUGUCUCCGGAUGCCAGGAGUUGCAAAGGGCAGACCUAGAUGAGGAAACCCCAGGCAGAGUCCUGGGGAAGCAGCACGGCAUCCGAGCCUCAGGCUUGCCUGGACGGUGUUGGUUGGGGUAAGAUUGGGGAAGAUGCCAGGUGAUAGAAUCCACCCUGCCUCUGACAGCAUCCAAUCUGGAGCAAAGGCUUAUUUCAACCCUCCCCCAAGCUCCCAAUACAAGCCCAAAUUCUGGAACAGGUCCUUUCCAACACCUCCUUCAGAGAAGCUCCCUGGCUCCAGGCAGUGCUUGCUCCCCUCACUGCAGCAGGAAGCCUAACUUGCGAACUGCAGGUGUGCUCCAGGUGGUCACUGGAUGCAAGGCAUUGACAGAUGGAUCCCAUCGAUACCCCCACUGCAAAACCAUAGUGCAGUGAAUAGAAGACACUUCUCUGCACCCCAAAAGCUCCAUGCUGAUUGUGAGAAGGAAAUGCUGGAUGGAGGGGUUCCUGGAACU